GACGAACGCUGGCGGCGUGCUUAACACAUGCAAGUCGAGCGGUAAGGCCCUUUCGGGGGUACACGAGCGGCGAACGGGUGAGUAACACGUGGGUGACCUGCCCUCAGCUCUGGGAUAAGCCUGGGAAACUGGGUCUAAUACUGGAUAUGACUCCACGGUGCAUGUCGUGGGGCGGAAAGCCUUGUGCGGCUGAGGAUGGGCCCGCGGCCUAUCAGCUUGUUGGUGGGGNGAUGGCCUACCAAGGCGACGACGGGUAGCCGGCCUGAGAGGGCGACCGGCCACACUGGGACUGAGACACGGCCCAGACUCCUACGGGAGGCAGCAGUGGGGAAUCUUGCGCAAUGGGCGAAAGCCUGACGCAGCGACGCCGCGUGAGGGAUGACGGCCUGGUGUAAC
Molecule: ribosomal RNA, 396 nt
Filed under: uncultured bacterium
Lineage: Bacteria
Description: bacterial SSU rRNA
Rfam family: Bacterial small subunit ribosomal RNA
Source: RNAcentral